AAUGAACGCUGGCGGCAGGCCUAACACAUGCAAGUCGAGCGGAUGAAGGGAGCUUGCUCCUGGAUUCAGCGGCGGACGGGUGAGUAAUGCCUAGGAAUCUGCCUGGUAGUGGGGGAUAACGUCCGGAAACGGGCGCUAAUACCGCAUACGUCCUGAGGGAGAAAGGGGGGGAUCUUCGGACCUAACGGUAUCAGCUGAGCCUAGGUCGGAUUAGCUAGUUGGUGGGGUAAAGGCCUACCAAGGCGACGAUCCGUAACUGGUCUGAGAGGAUGAUCAGUCACACUGGAACUGAGACACGGUCCAGACUCCUACGGGAGGCAGCAGUGGGGAAUAUUGGACAAUGGGCGAAAGCCUGAUCCAGCCAUGCCGCGUGUGUGAAGAAGGUCUUCGGAUUGUAAAGCACUUUAAGUUGGGAGGAAGGGCAGUAAGUUAAUACCUGGCUGUUUUGACGUUACCAACAGAAUAAGCACCGGCUAACUUCGUG
RNAcentral lists this ribosomal RNA (484 nucleotides) under uncultured bacterium. Its description in RNAcentral is "partial 16S ribosomal RNA". It matches the Rfam family "Bacterial small subunit ribosomal RNA", at positions 29 to 507 of the family's 1533-position model. The record is from RNAcentral.